Molecule: ribosomal RNA, 402 nt
Filed under: uncultured bacterium
Lineage: Bacteria
Description: bacterial SSU rRNA
Rfam family: Bacterial small subunit ribosomal RNA
Source: RNAcentral
UGGGGAAUCUUGCACAAUGGGGGCAACCCUGAUGCAGCGACGCCGCGUGAGCGAUGAAGCCCUUCGGGGCGUAAAGCUCUUUCGACCGGAACGAUAAUGACGGUACCGGGAGAAGAAGCUGCGGCUAACUACGUGCCAGCAGCCGCGGUAAUACGUAGGCAGCAAGCGUUGUUCGGAGUUACUGGGCGUAAAGAGUGCAUAGGCGGUUUUCUAAGUUCGGUGUGAAAUCUCCCGGCUUAACUGGGAGGGUGCGCCGAAGACUGGGAAGCUGGAGUGUGGGAAAGGCAGGCGGAAUUCCUGGUGUAGCGGUGAAAUGCGUAGAUAUCAGGAGGAACACCGGCGGUGUAGACGGCUUGCUAGACCAUAACUGACGCUGAGGCACGAAAGCGUGGGUAGCAAACA